GACGAACGCUGGCGGCGUGCUUAACACAUGCCGGUCGAACGGAAAGGCCCUGCUUUUGUGGGGUGCUCGAGUGGCGAACGGGUGAGUAACACGUGAGUAACCUGCCCUUGACUUUGGGAUAACUUCAGGAAACUGGGGCUAAUACCGGAUAGGAGCUCCUGCUGCAUGGUGGGGGUUGGAAAGUUUCGGCGGUUGGGGAUGGACUCGCGGCUUAUCAGCUUGUUGGUGGGGUAGUGGCUUACCAAGGCUUUGACGGGUAGCCGGCCUGGGAGGGUGACCGGCCACAUUGGGACUGAGAUACGGCCCAGACUCCUACGGGAGGCAGCAGUGGGGAAUAUUGCACAAUGGGCGGAAGCCUGAUGCAGCAACGCCGCGUGCGGGAUGACGGCCUUCGGGUUGUAAACCGCUUUCGCCUGUGACGAAGCGUGAGUGACGGUAAUGGGUAAAGAAGCACCGGCUAACUACGUG
RNAcentral lists this ribosomal RNA (468 nucleotides) under uncultured bacterium. RNAcentral describes it as "partial 16S ribosomal RNA". It matches the Rfam family "Bacterial small subunit ribosomal RNA", at positions 28 to 507 of the family's 1533-position model. The record is from RNAcentral.